CCUACGGGGGGCUGCAGUGAGGAAUAUUGGUCAAUGGACGAGAGUCUGAACCAGCCAAGUAGCGUGAAGGAUGACUGCCCUAUGGGUUGUAAACUUCUUUUAUAUGGGAAUAAAAUGUUCCACGUGUGGGAUUUUGUAUGUACCAUAUGAAUAAGGAUCGGCUAACUCCGUGCCAGCAGCCGCGGUAAUACGGAGGAUCCGAGCGUUAUCCGGAUUUAUUGGGUGUAAAGGGAGCGUAGGUGGAUUGUUAAGUCAGUUGUGAAAGUUUGCGGCUCAACCGUAAAAUUGCAGUUGAAACUGGCAGUCUUGAGUACAGUAGAGGUGGGCGGAAUUCGUGGUGUAGCGGUGAAAUGCUUAGAUAUCACGAAGAACUCCGAUUGCGAAGGCAGUUCACUGGACUGCAACUGACACUGAUGCUCGAAAGUGUGGGUAUCAAACAGGAUUAGAUACCCCAGUAGUC
This 460-nucleotide ribosomal RNA is filed under the name uncultured bacterium. Its description in RNAcentral is "partial 16S ribosomal RNA". It matches the Rfam family "Bacterial small subunit ribosomal RNA", at positions 338 to 795 of the family's 1533-position model. The record is from RNAcentral.